Molecule: long non-coding RNA, 304 nt
Organism: Hemiscyllium ocellatum (epaulette shark)
Lineage: Eukaryota; Metazoa; Chordata; Chondrichthyes; Orectolobiformes; Hemiscylliidae
Exons: 3
Source: RefSeq, a predicted model, not a curated record
AAAACAAAGAAUCAUUUCUCAACGAAAAAAUGGCACAUCACAAAGCUAGUUCAUGGAUUUCCUGCACACACCACUGACCAGUGUUUAUGGGAUCUGCACUGGAACCCUUCUGUUUGCGGGACAAAUAUAUAUAAGUGACAUGGAUUAAAAUCUAAUUUGAGUACAUUUUGAAUUGUUGGAAGAUGUACAUUUGUGGAAGGAAGGGGAGCUGCCUGCAGCUGAAUAGUCACAUUGAAUUUUUUUUUGGUGAUUCCAUCUGCUGCUAAGCAUUCUAAUUAUCUUUUCAUUAUCAGAAAAAUUGCUU